CUUAAGCUACUGGUAGAACGAGUUGAGCUUGUUCCAGUUGCUGUUGAGGGAGAGACAGCGGUAGCAGCUAGGAGAAGAUCUGAGACUACUCCUGUGCUGGACAAGCACAAUAACCAGGAAACACCUACUAUAGUCAAGUCCUACUAUGACAAAAGAAUAAUUGGAUGCCCUAGUGUUGAAGGAGGUAAACUCCUCCAGCUGCAUCUUUUUCUUCCCUGCUAAACUUACAUCAUUCCGCAUUUGCAGCUAACUAUAAGUUUUGGAUAUAUAUGUCUGCUGAAGAUGAGCACGAUGCUAUGUGGUUUUGGCUGGAUAAAGGCAAGUCACA
Long non-coding RNA from Rosa chinensis, 328 nucleotides. RefSeq lists it as uncharacterized. The transcript has 3 exons. Lineage: Eukaryota; Viridiplantae; Streptophyta; Magnoliopsida; Rosales; Rosaceae. The record is from RefSeq and is a predicted model, not a curated record.